GGUUGACCUCGGAUCAGGUAGGGAUACCCGCUGAACUUAAGCAUAUCAAUAAGCGGAGGAAAAGAAACCAACAGGGAUUGCCCCAGUAACGGCGAGUGAAGCGGCAAGAGCUCAAAUUUGAAAGCUGGCUCCUUCGGGGUCCGCAUUGUAAUUUGCAGAGGAUGUUUCGGGAGUGGCCCCCAUCUAAGUGUCCUGGAACGGACCGUCAUAGAGGGUG
RNAcentral lists this ribosomal RNA (217 nucleotides) under Penicillium sp. CGMCC 3.18178. RNAcentral's name for it is "partial 28S ribosomal RNA". It matches the Rfam family "Eukaryotic large subunit ribosomal RNA", at positions 1 to 214 of the family's 3401-position model. The record is from RNAcentral. Lineage: Eukaryota; Fungi; Ascomycota; Eurotiomycetes; Eurotiales; Aspergillaceae.